Molecule: transfer RNA, 73 nt
Filed under: Anaerolineae bacterium
Lineage: Bacteria; Bacillati; Chloroflexota; Anaerolineae
Description: tRNA-Glu
Rfam family: tRNA
About the family: Transfer RNA (tRNA) molecules are approximately 80 nucleotides in length.
Source: RNAcentral
GGCCCCAUCGUCUAGUGGUCUAGGACGUCACCCUUUCAAGGUGAAGACAUGGGUUCGAGUCCCAUUGGGGUCA